Molecule: transfer RNA, 77 nt
Filed under: Puniceicoccales bacterium
Lineage: Bacteria; Pseudomonadati; Verrucomicrobiota; Opitutia; Puniceicoccales
Description: tRNA-Val
Rfam family: tRNA
About the family: Transfer RNA (tRNA) molecules are approximately 80 nucleotides in length. Their secondary structure includes four short double-helical elements and three loops (D, anti-codon, and T loops). Further hydrogen bonds mediate the characteristic L-shaped molecular structure. tRNAs have two regions of fundamental functional importance: the anti-codon, which is responsible for specific mRNA codon recognition, and the 3' end, to which the tRNAs corresponding amino acid is attached (by aminoacyl-tRNA synthetases). tRNAs cope with the degeneracy of the genetic code in two manners: having more than one tRNA (with a specific anti-codon) for a particular amino acid; and 'wobble' base-pairing, i.e. permitting non-standard base-pairing at the 3rd anti-codon position.
Source: RNAcentral
GGGGGAUUAGCUCAGCAGGUUAGAGCGCUAGCUUCACACGCUAGAAGUCGCUGGUUCGAGUCCAGCAUCUCCCACCA